This 223-nucleotide ribosomal RNA is filed under the name uncultured bacterium. Its description in RNAcentral is "partial 16S ribosomal RNA". It matches the Rfam family "Bacterial small subunit ribosomal RNA", at positions 109 to 334 of the family's 1533-position model. The record is from RNAcentral.
AGUAAUGUCUGGGAAACGGCCUGAUGGAGGGGGGUAACUACUGGAAACGGUAGCUAAUACCGCAUAACGUCGCAAGACCAAAGUGGGGGGACCUUCGGGCCUCAUGCCAUCAGAUGUGCCCAGAUGGGAUUAGCUAGUAGGUGGGGUAACGGCUCACCUAGGCGACGAUCCCUAGCUGGUCUGAGAGGAUGACCAGCCACACUGGAACUGAGACACGGUCCAG